Long non-coding RNA from Gracilinanus agilis (Agile Gracile Mouse Opossum), 598 nucleotides. RefSeq lists it as uncharacterized. The record is from RefSeq and is a predicted model, not a curated record. The transcript has 2 exons. NCBI's taxonomy places the organism in Eukaryota, Metazoa, Chordata, Mammalia, Didelphimorphia, Didelphidae.
CAAGGAAGAGGGAAGCAGCUUUGGCUUUGGCCCUUCCCAAUCCUCUCUUUCCCCCAUCCUCUCAGAUGCUACAGGGCCAGGCCUUGAGCCUGCUCCAUUCACAGCUUCAGCUCUUCUACCUUAAUGGCACCUGGGCCAAGCCCAGGAGUAGCAGCCACAACUCCGGCAGUGAGGCUUCUGUGGUCUGCCAAGGCCAUGUGCCCCCCUUGCUGCCGAUGUCCCCGACCUGCUGAGCGCCCUCCUAGAUCACAGCUGGACUGUGCUUCCUGGUCUACUUUGGCAGCCUCUGUGGCCUAACUCAGCCGUCCUUGGUCGGAUUUCUCCCUCUGGCACCCGAGACCUGGGCAUCACGGUUCAGCUCUCUCCUCUGGCUGUCAUUCCCCGUCCCUCUGUUCCUCUUGGGACGGCCUGCAGGAGGCUCUGAGGACUGGCCAGACUACCCAUGCGUGGCUCAGCAAGAGGCCUGUAUCCUCCGAGAAGACUAGGGGGACGGGAGCUGUGCAGCUAGGAAGGAGGGAGCAGGCUAGGCCCAGAGCCCUGGACUCCCCAUCCUGGGCCCUCGAGGAAAGAGCCAAUAAACGGCCCUUGGGAUUCUAUA